CCUACGGGUGGCAGCAGUGAGGAAUAUUGGUCAAUGGGCGGGAGCCUGAACCAGCCAAGCCGCGUGAGGGAAGAAGGUACAGCGUAUCGUAAACCUCUUUUGUCAGGGAACAAAGGCGGGGACUAGUCCCCGGAUGAGGGUACCUGAAGAAAAAGCAUCGGCUAACUCCGUGCCAGCAGCCGCGGUACUACGGAGGAUGCGAGCGUUAUCCGGCUUUAUUGGGUUUAAAGGGUGCGCAGGCGGCCUGUUAAGUCAGCGGUAAAAGCCCGGGGCUCAACCCCGGCGAGCCGUUGAAACUGGCGGGCUGGAGUGGGAGAGAAGUACGCGGAAUGCGCGGUGUAGCGGUGAAAUGCUGAGAUAUCACGCAGAACCCCGAUUGCGAAGGCAGCCGGCCAAGCCAUGACUGACGCUGAUGCACGAAAGCGUGGGGAUCAAACAGGAUUAGAUACCCUUGUAGUC
Molecule: ribosomal RNA, 459 nt
Filed under: uncultured bacterium
Lineage: Bacteria
Description: partial 16S ribosomal RNA
Rfam family: Bacterial small subunit ribosomal RNA
Source: RNAcentral